CUUAUCAUGGCCCUGUCCAGUUAAAUGGUGGAAAGUUCAGGAGCUGUGAGUUCUGAUACAGCAAUGCAUCAACCUACAUGAAUAGGUUGGUAUAUUGGGGUGGCCUGUUCUGUCCUCUGUAUUUCAGACCAAGGCAAGACAAUGUUUAAAGCUUACCAUGGAUCUACAAACAGUGUCAACUUGAAUUUGACUGUGGCUGUGGAAGACUGGUUCCUUGAUGAUGUCUGCAAUGAUCUCUGAUUCCAUCCCGUCAUGCCAAGAUUGAGAUUGGUGAGGAUUCCUUCAGUCAAGAGUUACAUGUUGAACAGAUGCAGGUGGACUGCCAAGAAAAGAGACCGAACAUAAGUCCCCUACAAGACAAAAUGAAAAGGACUGAAAAAGAAAGUUUUUAUGAAACAAGGUCUGAAAGUCACUGCAGCCAUUUUGCUCCCCCCCUACCUCUUCAAAGAAGAUCCAAGUGGGCUGUACGUCACAGACAGGUGAGGGGAAUACCUUUACGGAUGAGAGCCACAUUCAACUCUUCCUGGAUGUGGAGGAGCUACUCACUGAAGAGCUGGAGGACAUCUCCAUGGGAUUGGGAGUGGCAAUGGGGGGUCCAUUUCCUUUUUAAUAUUGAACUUCGCAGUGGGCUUUGAACUGGGCACCUGCCUCAUGCCUGGGAGGAAGCCCGGUUUCAAAACGAAUCCAAUCAACUUUCACCCGGUGCAAAACACGCAUACUGUCACGAUUUCCACCGAAGGUGGCUCCUCUCCCUGUUCGGGCGGUGCUCGGCGAUCCAUUUUUUCUUUUCUUUUCGUUUGUGUCUGUCUGUUUUUUCUUUACACCUGUGUCCUAUUAGUUCAUUUUGGUGGGUUUAUUAACCUGCGCUGCCUGCUAUUCUGUGUGCGGGAUUAUUUGCUGUUGUUGUUAUGUUAGGGGUGCGUGUUUGCGCCACGGGAUUUUAUUUUAGGAGUAGAGGUUUCUCCUCCGUGUGUUGCAUUUAUUCCCUGUGUGUGGCGACUUCGUUUGGGCGUGUUCUUCCACCUGUUGUUGUUGAGUUGGGACUUCUAAUAAACGAUUGUACUACUGGG
This is a long non-coding RNA of Oncorhynchus nerka (sockeye salmon), 1070 nucleotides long. RefSeq lists it as uncharacterized. Lineage: Eukaryota; Metazoa; Chordata; Actinopteri; Salmoniformes; Salmonidae. The transcript is spliced from 7 exons. The record is from RefSeq and is a predicted model, not a curated record.